UCCUCGUACAGAAAUUCUUCUUGGAUAAACUCGGUCGUGGUGUUAUUUCUUAUGGAACUGAAACAUUCGUUUGAGAAGUUUUACAUCAUACGAACCAUACGAAUAUGAAGGUGAAAGUUGUUUCAACGCACGAGCUUUACAAAGGGCUUCAGACUGGGUGAAAGCACUUACUUUUAUGGGUCUUGGAUCAUGUUAUCGGAUAUAUGGCAACCAUGUUUAUCUAGUUUUAGUGACCAAUUAUCGCAUUACAACUACUAUCCCAUUUCACCCUCGUUACCGCCAAUCAUGCUCCUUCUUUCGUUCCACCAUAUCCAAUGGUCCACCACCGCCGGGUAUCCUUCAUGCCCUCUCCGUCAAGAAUGGCUCUUUUCAAACUUUGAACUGGGUUAACCAUCUUUUAACUCUCUAUGCUAAAUCCAACAACAUGGGCCAUGCCCAGAAGCUGUUUGAUGAAAUUCCCCUCAAAAACACUCACACAUGGACCAUCCUUAUAUCAAGUUUUGCCAGAGCCGGCUCUUCAGAAAUGGUUUUUAACCUUUUCAGAGAAAUGCAGGCAAAGGGUGCUUGCCCAAACCAAUACACCUUGUCCAGUGUCUACAAGUGUUGUUCGUUUGACAGCAAUCUUCAAUUCGGCAAGGGAGUUCACGCAUGGAUGCUCAGACAUGGGGUUGAUGUAGAUGUCGUGCUGGGGAACUCUGCUCUUGAUGUUUACUUGAAAUGCAAUGCUUUUCAAUAUGCGGAAAGGUUGUUUGAGUUGAUGGAUGAAAGGGAUGUUGUGUCAUGGAAUAUAAUGAUCGGUGCGUAUCUGCGUUUUGGAGAUGUGGAGAAGUCUCUUGACAUGUUCAGGAGUUUGCCUUGUAAGGAUGUUGUAAGUUGGAAUACUAUCGUGGAUGGGUUGAUGCAAUGUGGUUAUGAACGACGGGCAUUGGAACAACUCCAUUGUAUGGUGGAAUAUGGGACUGAGUUUUCUGAUGUCACUUUCUCCAUAGCUCUUAUUUUGGCUUCCUCUUUAUCAGUUUUGGAGCUUGGGAGACAACUCCAUGGGAUGGUCCUUAAACGUGGCUUUGGUAGUGAUGGUUUUACGAGGAGUUCACUUGUAGAAAUGUAUUGUAAGUGUGGGAGAAUAGAUAAGGCAUCUAUAAUUCUCAGAGAUGUUCCUCUGGAUUUCCGGAGAAAAGGGAAUGUUGGAGUUACUAGCAAAGAAACAAAGGCAGGAAUAGUUUCAUGGGGUUCAAUGGUUUCUGGUUAUGUUUGGAAUGGGAAGUAUGAAGAUGGUUUGAAAGCUUUCAGGUUAAUGGUUCGUGAACUGGUUGUAGUGGAUAUUCGAACAGUUACAACUGUUAUUUCUGCUUGUGCUAAUGUUGGAAUUUUGGAUUUUGGAAGGCAUAUACAUGCCUACUUUCAGAAAAUAGGGCACAGAGUAGAUGCUUAUGUUGGGUCUUCAUUAAUUGAUAUGUAUUCUAAAUGUGGUAGCUUGGAUGGUGCAUGGAUGAUUUUCAGACAAAUCAAUGAACCGAACGUUAUCUUGUGGACUUCAAUGAUAUCUGGCUGUUCGCUACAGGGUCAAGGAAGGCAGGCAAUUAGUCUUUUUGAAGAAAUGUUGAAUCAGGGUAUUAGGCCAAAUGAGGUUACUUUUCUAGGGGUUUUAAAUGCAUGCAGCCAUGCUGGGCUGCUUGACGAAGGUUGUAAAUAUUUUAGGAUGAUGAAAGAUGCUUAUUGCAUCAAUCCUGGAGUUGAGCACUGCACUUCUAUGGUUGAUCUUUAUGGUCGAGCAGGUUGCUUAACCGAGACAAAGAACUUCAUUUUUGAAAAUGGUCUCUCUCACUUGACUUCUGUCUGGAAAUCAUUUUUAUCAUCUUGUCGACUUCAUAAAAAUGUUGAAAUGGGAAAGUGGGUUUCUGAUAUGCUGCUUCAAGUUGCACCAUCUGAUCCAGGCUCCUACGUUUUGCUAUCAAAUAUGUGUGCUUCUAACCAUAGCUGGGACGAGGCUGCUAGGGUAAGAAGUUUAAUGCAUCAAAGAGGAGUCAAGAAGCAGCCUGGUCAAUCUUGGAUUCAACUAAAGGAUCAAAUCCAUACUUUUGUCAUGGGAGAUAGGUCUCACCAUCAAGACAAGGAGAUAUACUCAUAUCUGGACACUUUAAUCGGAAGGUUGAAGGAAAUUGGGUAUUCCCCUGAUGCCAAACUGGUCAUGCAGGAUGUAGAAGAAGAGCAAGGAGAAGUACUUAUUAGUCAUCACAGUGAAAAGCUUGCAGUAGUCUUUGGCAUCAUUAACACUGCCCAUAGGCUCCCGAUUCGAAUUAUAAAGAACCUCCGCAUUUGUACAGAUUGCCAUAACUUCAUUAAACAUGUUUCUCAGCUUCUAGAUCGUGAAAUAAUUGUAAGAGAUAUUCAUAGGUACCAUCAUUUUAACCAUGGUAGUUGCUCUUGUGAAGAUUAUUGGUGACAUAGGUAAAACAUACAAUUACUAUUAUUAAGUAUACGAUAUAGUCUUGAUGUUCUGAAACCAGUCAUGAUGUCUUCAUUUGUGCUACGUACAUGUAUCAGUGCAUCUGAGACUAGUUGCAACAGAGUGAAAAUGACAGCGGGGAAUAUUCCGAGACUUUCGUUCCAAGUUACAUAAACUUUUUGGUUCCUAUUUUUUAGCUAUUUCUUUUUUUAUUGUGAGAUUCUAAUUUGUAUAUUUAUUUUGUUACCACAUGUUAGACUUACCAAUCAUUUCAAUCCUGGUGUCUUUUAUGAUGUUUCAUCCUCCAUAUGCCGUUACAAGGUAAUUGAUGAAGUACUGCGUUAGAUCAGAUAAAACAAAUGAAAUUUAUAUUCUGAUAUUCUGUUUAGUCUACCCAAAAUAAUAUAUAUAUAUAUAUAUGAAAAUUGAAAAAUAAUGAAUGAAAAUUGAAAAAUAAUGAAAAUAGAAAAUGUUUUAGGUAAACAGAGGGAAAUUUAUAUUUCAGGUUAAAGAAGUGUUUAAUUCUCAGUACUAAGUAUCAUAAAAUCAUAAUAAAUUAAACAUGAAAAAUAAGUAACAUGUUGAAGCAGCUUGUGGGUUCUGGUCAUUUGUUUCAUAAAAACUUGUGGAACUUCCAAAGCUCCCAGUUACUAGCUUUAUGUCACAAACUGACAAAAAUAAAUCAUUGUUAUUGGAAUGGUUUCAGUGUUUGAUGUACUAGUACUUCAGAUCUCUCGUAUUUUCCACCUUUGUCCAGUUCAGUAAUCAACUUUGAAGUUUUUUUCGUGGAACAAAAUUUAGCAGGGAAAGGAGGCUGCAUGGUACAAACCUAAGCAAGAACUUGAUACUUACAGAUGACCUACUAAUGGAAGACCACGAGCAGGAACCGAAUCUAAGCCCCUUUUGUCUGCGUUGUUCAAUCCAGCAUGUUAAGCAACCUUCAUUGCGCACUUGAUUGAAAGGUCUUGUACAUCAAGGAAGCUCUGGCAAAAUUCGUUAGUUAUCUAGGUUCUGGUUUCGUAGCUUCUAUGUAGGCCAAUAGCGCUUUAAUUAUUGCUUGCACUAUUCUCAUAUCUGCUAUAAUCAUGCAAAUCACAAUGCUUUUUUUUUGUAUCGAUAA
Vigna unguiculata (cowpea) is the source of this 3566-nucleotide unclassified non-coding RNA. Lineage: Eukaryota; Viridiplantae; Streptophyta; Magnoliopsida; Fabales; Fabaceae. The record is from RefSeq and is a predicted model, not a curated record.